RNAcentral lists this transfer RNA (77 nucleotides) under Pseudomonadota bacterium. RNAcentral describes it as "Proteobacteria bacterium (freshwater metagenome) tRNA-Arg". It matches the Rfam family "tRNA". From Rfam's summary of the family: Transfer RNA (tRNA) molecules are approximately 80 nucleotides in length. Their secondary structure includes four short double-helical elements and three loops (D, anti-codon, and T loops). Lineage: Bacteria; Pseudomonadati; Pseudomonadota. The record is from RNAcentral. RNAcentral also lists the same sequence under 1 other name.
GCACCCGUAGCUCAAUUGGAUAGAGCAUCUGACUACGAAUCAGAAGGUUUUAGGUUCAAGUCCUAACGGGUGCACCA